This is a long non-coding RNA of Pelobates fuscus (common spadefoot toad), 1618 nucleotides long. RefSeq lists it as uncharacterized. The transcript is spliced from 5 exons. The record is from RefSeq and is a predicted model, not a curated record. NCBI's taxonomy places the organism in Eukaryota, Metazoa, Chordata, Amphibia, Anura, Pelobatidae.
AUAUUUAUAUUAUUAUUGUAUGGCUGCUGCAAAACUAUCUGGAAGAAGGUGCUAAAGCCAGUCUUUAAUCAAGGACACAAGGGCUAACUAUUUGGAUGUCUUGUUGGGUUCAGAUAUAGUUCCAGUGACUCAAGUCCUUCAGACAGCACAGCUCACACAGUGUUUGAUGGGGGAUUGGUCGGAUGACAGCUGGAACUGUAGUCAUCACAGGAGGAAUCCUAGCAACCUUUAUACUUCUGUGUAUAAUUGGAGUUCUGUGUUACUGCAGACUUCAGUAUUAUUGCUGCAAGAAAGACGAACUCCAUGAAGAGGGAGAGGAGGAUACAGAUCAUAGACCUCACUCGCACUUCCCCUGUCAUGACUGCUCCUCAGGACACCGUGAUGGGUUACCUCCACCCUCUACGGCACCCGCCUACUCCCCAUACGGCUCUCCUUACUAUAUACGGACUGCAGACUCCAUGUGCAAUGGAAGGGAUAGAAGUUCAUACACUCCUACCCACUACACAGACCCAACCAUUGUGAUGGGUGGAACACCAAAUUUUUCUAGGAGCAUCCACGCUCUCAGUACCCAGGUCUGAAGGAAAUGGAUUUCACCACAAUGCUGAUAGCAGGAGGAUUCGAAAAGCUUUAUCACUGCCAAAAAGAUCACACUGGAGGGGUCAUAUCUCUCUAUUAACUAUGGGAACGUAAUUCGUUUUAGAGACAGUUUUCAGUAACAAUGACCAAGAGAGGCAGAAUGACUCCUAGGCUUCCAUAGAGGACCAUCACAUUGAGUUUUGGCACUUCACUUCUUCCAGGGACUGUGUGUCUCGCACUGUUUCAUCCACGCUGGAUUUGAGUUAACGAUGUCUCAUGGACACAGAGAGAUUGCCAAAUGUUUUAUUAAAAAAUCCACAUUCCAGAACCAAUUUGAGUACCUGGAGUAGAUGAUGGGUAAAAGGACUCUUACGUCCAUAUUGGUCCUCAUUUUACAUAUUUAAUAAGCAUGUAUAUUACAUUCAACAGGGCCUGUCUGAGGUUCUGGAAAGAAGAAAAUGAGUUGCUAGAAUGGACUCCAUGGCACGUUCAUCAUUUCCACCUGGGGAUAUUUAAUUAUUAUUAAAUUGACAGUGUCCCCUAUACAUUUGGAAAUACUCAUCACUAUAUAGAAGUUAUGAAAUGCUGCACUGCUCUUUUAUAACAUUGCACAGAACUACCCCUUGUGAACACCCGGUGGCCGCCCAUUCUGGAAUCCCAAUGUGACUUUCAUUUUAGAACUAUAAAAUUCUUUGUGAAGUUUUUUUUUUUUUCCUUUUCUUCUAUCUAAAAUUAUAAUGAGAUUUGAAAAUAUCUUUAUUGAGACAGGCAUAAAAAAAAAACACCAUCUUAAACUUAAAAGCAAUUUUUCUCUGAAUUUGAUUAUUAUUAUCAAUCACAGCUUUGUGGGUAGCAGGAUAAUACGUUCUAAAGCUUUGGGUAAAUGCUCCAAAAUAUAAAAUGAACUUUAUUAUUAUUCACAUUUAUAUAGAGCCAAUAUUUCUUGCAGUGAUUUACAAUCAACGGGGCUAUAAAACAGCAAAUAAAUGACAAAUAAAUAAAUGUGAACAUAAAGGAAGGUGAGAAGGGACCCUGGUAAAAA